GAAUGAACGCUGGCGGCGUGCCUAACACAUGCAAGUCGAGCGAGAAAGUUCCCUUCGGGGAGCGAGUACAGCGGCGCACGGGUGAGUAACGCGUGGGUAACCUACCCUCGAGUGGGGGAUAACUCGUCGAAAGGCGGGCUAAUCCCGCAUACGUCCCGCAGACCCAUGUCUGCAGGAGAAAGAUGGCCUCUGCUUGCAAGCUAUCGCUCUUGGAUGGGCCCGCGUUAGAUUAGCUUGUUGGUGAGGUAACGGCUCACCAAGGCUCCGAUCUAUAGCUGGUUUGAGAGGACGACCAGCCACACUGGAACUGAGACACGGUCCAGACUCCUACGGGAGGCAGCAGUGAGGAAUAUUGCGCAAUGGGGGAAACCCUGACGCAGCGACGCCGCGUGAGUGAUGAAGGCCUUCGGGUUGUAAAGCUCUGUCAGAGGGAAAGAAAGGGGAUGCGGAAUAAUACCCGCAGCCAUUGACGGUACCCUCGAAGGAAGCACCGGCUAACUCCGUGCCAGCAGCCGCGGUAAUACGGAGGAUGCAAGCGUUAUCCGGAUUCAUUGGGUUUAAAGGGUGCGUAGGCGGGCUAUUAAGUCAGUGGUGAGAUCCUGCAGCUUAACUGCAGAACUGCCGUUGAUACUGAUAGUCUUGAGUUUGGUUAAGGUAGGCGGAAUGUGUAAUGUAGCGGUGAAAUGCUUAGAUAUUACACAGAACACCANUUGGCGUAGGCAGCUUACUGAGCCGACACUGACGCUGAGGCACGAAAGCGUGGGGAUCAAACAGGAUUAGAUACCCUGGUAGUCCACGCCGUAAACGAUGAUUACUCGCUGUUGGCGAUACACUGUCAGCGGCUAAGCAAAAGCAAUAAGUAAUCCACCUGGGGAGUACGGCCGCAAGGUUGAAACUCAAAGGAAUUGACGGGGGCCCGCACAAGCGGAGGAACAUGUGGUUUAAUUCGAUGAUACGCGAGGAACCUUACCUGGGCUUAAAUGUAGAGUGCAUUUUCUAGAGAUAGAAAUUCCCUUCGGGGCUUUCUGCAAGGUGCUGCAUGGUUGUCGUCAGCUCGUGCCGUGAGGUGUCGGGUUAAGUCCCAUAACGAGCGCAACCCUUAUCGUUAGUUGCCAGCUGGUAAAGCAGGGGACUCUAGCGAAACUGCCACCGUAAGGUGAGAGGAAGGUGGGGAUGACGUCAAAUCAGCACGGCCCUUAUGUCCAGGGCUACACACGUGUUACAAUGGCCGGUACAGAGGGCUGCUACCUGGUGACAGGAUGCUAAUCUCGAAAACCGGUCUCAGUUCGGAUCGAAGUCUGCAACUCGACUUCGUGAAGCCGGAUUCGCUAGUAAUCGCGCAUCAGCAACGGCGCGGUGAAUACGUUCCCGGGCCU
This 1376-nucleotide ribosomal RNA is filed under the name uncultured bacterium. RNAcentral's name for it is "bacterial SSU rRNA". It matches the Rfam family "Bacterial small subunit ribosomal RNA", at positions 27 to 1381 of the family's 1533-position model. The record is from RNAcentral.